This 451-nucleotide ribosomal RNA is filed under the name uncultured bacterium. RNAcentral's name for it is "partial 16S ribosomal RNA". It matches the Rfam family "Bacterial small subunit ribosomal RNA", at positions 354 to 796 of the family's 1533-position model. The record is from RNAcentral.
GUAGGGAAUAUUGGACAAUGGGCGGAAGCCUGAUCCAGCCAUGCCGCGUGUGUGAAGAAGGCCUUUUGGUUGUAAAGCACUUUAAGCGAGGAGGAGGCUACCGAGAUUAAUACUCUUGGAUAGUGGACGUUACUCGCAGAAUAAGCACCGGCUAACUCUGUGCCAGCAGCCGCGGUAAUACAGAGGGUGCCAGCGUUAAUCGGAUUUACUGGGCGUAAAGCGCGCGUAGGUGGCCAAUUAAGUCAAAUGUGAAAUCCCCGAGCUUAACUUGGGAAUUGCAUUCGAUACUGGUUGGCUAGAGUAUGGGAGAGGAUGGUAGAAUUCCAGGUGUAGCGGUGAAAUGCGUAGAGAUCUGGAGGAAUACCGAUGGCGAAGGCAGCCAUCUGGCCUAAUACUGACACUGAGGUGCGAAAGCAUGGGGAGCAAACAGGAUUAGAAACCCCUGUAGUCC